UGAACGCUGGCGGCAGGCCUAACACAUGCAAGUCGAAUGGUAACAGGAAACAGCUUGCUGUUUCUCUGACGAGUGGCGGACGGGUGAGUAAUGUCUGGGAAACUGCCUGAUGGAGGGGGAUAACUACUGGAAACGGUAGCUAAUACCGCAUAACGUCGCAAGACCAAAGAGGGGGACCUUCGGGCCUCUUGCCAUCAGAUGUGCCCAGAUGGGAUUAGCUAGUAGGUGGGGUAACGGCUCACCUAGGCGACGAUCCCUAGCUGGUCUGAGAGGAUGACCAGCCACACUGGAACUGAGACACGGUCCAGACUCCUACGGGAGGCAGCAGUGGGGAAUAUUGCACAAUGGGCGCAAGCCUGAUGCAGCCAUGCCGCGUGUAUGAAGAAGGCCUUCGGGUUGUAAAGUACUUUCAGCGGGGAGGAAGGGAGUAAAGUUAAUACCUUUGCUCAUUGACGUUACCCGCAGAAGAAGCACCGGCUAACUCCGUG
Molecule: ribosomal RNA, 488 nt
Filed under: uncultured bacterium
Lineage: Bacteria
Description: partial 16S ribosomal RNA
Rfam family: Bacterial small subunit ribosomal RNA
Source: RNAcentral